This 78-nucleotide transfer RNA is filed under the name Penion cuvierianus. RNAcentral's name for it is "tRNA-Val". Lineage: Eukaryota; Metazoa; Mollusca; Gastropoda; Neogastropoda; Buccinidae. The record is from RNAcentral.
GAAAAACAUAGUAUAAUUUUAAUACAUUUCAUUUACACUGAAAAUAUACUUAAAUAAUGAGUUGUUUUUAAAUUAAAU